GGGUAUAGCUCAGUUGGUAGAGCGGCGGUCUCCAAAACCGCAGGUCGGGGGUUCGAGCCCCUCUGCCC
RNAcentral lists this transfer RNA (68 nucleotides) under Nitratireductor aquibiodomus. It matches the Rfam family "tRNA". From Rfam's summary of the family: Transfer RNA (tRNA) molecules are approximately 80 nucleotides in length. Their secondary structure includes four short double-helical elements and three loops (D, anti-codon, and T loops). Further hydrogen bonds mediate the characteristic L-shaped molecular structure. tRNAs have two regions of fundamental functional importance: the anti-codon, which is responsible for specific mRNA codon recognition, and the 3' end, to which the tRNAs corresponding amino acid is attached (by aminoacyl-tRNA synthetases). tRNAs cope with the degeneracy of the genetic code in two manners: having more than one tRNA (with a specific anti-codon) for a particular amino acid; and 'wobble' base-pairing, i.e. permitting non-standard base-pairing at the 3rd anti-codon position. Lineage: Bacteria; Pseudomonadati; Pseudomonadota; Alphaproteobacteria; Hyphomicrobiales; Phyllobacteriaceae. RNAcentral also lists the same sequence under 8 other names. The record is from RNAcentral.